UAACCGUAUAGGGGAGCCGGAGGGAAACCGAGUCUUAACCGGGCGUUAAGUUGCAGGGUAUAGACCCGAAACCCGGUGAUCUAGCCAUGGGCAGGUUGAAGGUUGGGUAACACUAACUGGAGGACCGAACCGACUAAUGUUGAAAAAUUAGCGGAUGACCUGUGGCUGGGGGUGAAAGGCCAAUCAAACCGGGAGAUAGCUGGUUCUCCCCGAAAGCUAUUUAGGUAGCGCCUCGUGAACUCAUCUCCGGGGGUAGAGCACUGUUUCGGCUAGGGGGCCAUCCCGGCUUACCAACCCGAUGCAAACUGCGAAUACCGGAGAAUGUUAUCACGGGAGACACACGGCGGGUGCUAACGUCCGUCGUGAAGAGGGAAACAACCCAGACCGCCAGCUAAGGUCCCAAAGUCAUGGUUAAGUGGGAAACGAUGUGGGAAGGCCCAGACAGCCAGGAUGUUGGCUUAGAAGCAGCCAUCAUUUAAAGAAAGCGUAAUAGCUCACUGGUCGAGUCGGCCUGCGCGGAAGAUGUAACGGGGCUAAACCAUGCACCGAAGCUGCGGCAGCGAACGUAUCACUUAAAGCGAUUCAGCGGGUUACGAUUGACGGAGCGAAGCGACGUCAAAGCGUAUACAAAGUCGAGUCGGUUUAAGGAUACGUUCGUUGGGUAGGGGAGCGUUCUGUAAGCCUGCGAAGGUGGCCUGUGAGGGU
RNAcentral lists this ribosomal RNA (705 nucleotides) under Salmonella enterica subsp. enterica serovar Kentucky. RNAcentral's name for it is "bacterial LSU rRNA". It matches the Rfam family "Bacterial large subunit ribosomal RNA", at positions 647 to 1270 of the family's 2925-position model. The record is from RNAcentral. Lineage: Bacteria; Pseudomonadati; Pseudomonadota; Gammaproteobacteria; Enterobacterales; Enterobacteriaceae.